Molecule: ribosomal RNA, 429 nt
Filed under: Chloroflexota bacterium
Lineage: Bacteria; Bacillati; Chloroflexota
Description: Chloroflexi bacterium partial 16S ribosomal RNA
Rfam family: Bacterial small subunit ribosomal RNA
Source: RNAcentral
UGGGGAAUAUUGCACAAUGGGCGCAAGCCUGAUGCAGCCAUGCCGCGUGUAUGAAGAAGGCCUUCGGGUUGUAAAGUACUUUCAGCGGGGAGGAAGGGAGUAAAGUUAAUACCUUUGCUCAUUGACGUUACCCGCAGAAGAAGCACCGGCUAACUCCGUGCCAGCAGCCGCGGUAAUACGGAGGUUGCAAGCGUUAAUCGGAAUUACUGGGCGUAAAGCGCACGCAGGCGGUUUGUUAAGUCAGAUGUGAAAUCCCCGGGCUCAACCUGGGAACUGCAUCUGAUACUGGCAAGCUUGAGUCUCGUAGAGGGGGGUAGAAUUCCAGGUGUAGCGGUGAAAUGCGUAGAGAUCUGGAGGAAUACCGGUGGCGAAGGCGGCCCCCUGGACGAAGACUGACGCUCAGGUGCGAAAGCGUGGGGAGCAAACAGG